GCCAGACUCCUACGGGAGGCAGCAGUAGGGAAUUUUCGGCAAUGGGGGGAACCCUGACCGAGCAACGCCGCGUGAACGAAGAAGUUAUUCGUAAUGUAAAGUUCUUUUAUCAGGGAAGAAAGAGGAAUUUGACGGUACCUGAGGAAUAAGCUCCGGCUAACUACGUGCCAGCAGCCGCGGUAAUACGUAGGGGGCGAGCGUUAUCCGGAUUCACUGGGUGUAAAGGGAGCGUAGACGGCCAUGCAAGCCAGGGGUGAAAGCCCGGGGCCCAACCCCGGGACUGCCCUUGGAACUGUGCGGCUAGAGUGCGGGAGGGGCAGGCGGAAUUCCUGGUGUAGCGGUGAAAUGCGUAGAUAUCAGGAGGAACACCGGCGGCGAAGGCGGCCUGCUGGACCGCGACUGACGUUGAGGCUCGAAAGCGUGGGGAGCGAACAGGAUUAGAUACCCGCGUAAG
Molecule: ribosomal RNA, 454 nt
Filed under: uncultured bacterium
Lineage: Bacteria
Description: bacterial SSU rRNA
Rfam family: Bacterial small subunit ribosomal RNA
Source: RNAcentral